This 215-nucleotide unclassified non-coding RNA is filed under the name soil metagenome. RNAcentral describes it as "partial contains 5.8S ribosomal RNA, internal transcribed spacer 2, and large subunit ribosomal RNA". The record is from RNAcentral.
AACAUCGCGCACCUGCGGGAACCUGCGGAAGGAUCAUUACCGAGUUUACAACUCCCAAACCCAUGUGAACAUACCUAUCGUUGCUUCGGCGGGAUCGCCCCGGGCGCCUCGUGUGCCCCGGAUCCGGCGCCCGCCUAGGAACCUUAACUCUUGUUUUAUUUUGGAAUCUUCUGAGUAGUUUUUACAAAUAAAUAAAAACUUUUAACAACGGAUCU